RNAcentral lists this microRNA precursor (60 nucleotides) under Sphenodon punctatus (tuatara). RNAcentral's name for it is "Spt-Mir-10-P3b_pre stem-loop". The record is from RNAcentral. Lineage: Eukaryota; Metazoa; Chordata; Lepidosauria; Sphenodontia; Sphenodontidae.
UCCCUGAGACCCUUAACCUGUGAGGACGCCCAGAGGUCACAGGUGAGGUUCUUGGGAACU